UCACCGAGUUGUUGUGUGCGCAACGCUGA
Molecule: non-coding RNA, 29 nt
Filed under: Bombyx mori (domestic silkworm)
Lineage: Eukaryota; Metazoa; Arthropoda; Insecta; Lepidoptera; Bombycidae
Source: RNAcentral